Molecule: ribosomal RNA, 161 nt
Filed under: Carapichea ipecacuanha (ipecac)
Lineage: Eukaryota; Viridiplantae; Streptophyta; Magnoliopsida; Gentianales; Rubiaceae
Description: 5.8S ribosomal RNA
Rfam family: 5.8S ribosomal RNA
About the family: 5.8S ribosomal RNA (5.8S rRNA) is a component of the large subunit of the eukaryotic ribosome. It is transcribed by RNA polymerase I as part of the 45S precursor that also contains 18S and 28S rRNA.
Source: RNAcentral
AAAAUGACUCUCGGCAACGGAUAUCUAGGCUCUCGCAUCGAUGAAGAACGUAGCAAAAUGCGAUACUUAGUGUGAAUUGCAGAAUCCCGUGAACCAUCGAAUUUUUGAAUGCAAGUUACGCCCGAAGCCAUUAGGCUGAGGGCACGUCUGCCUGGGCGUCA